RNAcentral lists this transfer RNA (67 nucleotides) under Bolivaritettix sikkinensis. Its description in RNAcentral is "tRNA-Trp". Lineage: Eukaryota; Metazoa; Arthropoda; Insecta; Orthoptera; Tetrigidae. The record is from RNAcentral.
AAGAACUUAAGUUAAAAAAACUAAUAACCUUCAAAGUUAUAGAUAAAAGAGAAUCUUUUAGGACUUA